AGUGUCAAAUUUCCCAUGAAUUAAAGCUUUAUGCAUGUGCCAUCACUUCCGUUUACAUCAAAAAAUUAUAGGGGGCACCUACUCUGCCCCCAUAUGCAUGCUAGAUGGUAGAUCUGCAGGUCUAAUAGCUAAACUUAAUCAGCUAUAGCUAAUUAGCCAUGGAUGGGGAUACUGCUUUUGAACGAUUAAUUGCAGCUGAAGAGAAGCUUUUUGAAGAGUAUCGUAAGAUAGAAGAAUUAAAAAGGUAAGUAAUAUAGUUGAAGCUAUAUUGGUGCAAUAGUGAGUCAUUCAGUGACAUUUUAAAGAAGAAAAAAACAUUAACUGCUGAAAAAGAAAAAGAAAAAAACAAAAGAGAUUCAUUAAUAAAAGCAAUGGAUGCUCUGGCUGAAAAAAAGUUAUUUGUUGACAGGUUAAAAAGCUCAUCUUGUGAUGCUCGCAAGAUGUAUGGAGAUAUGAUUCCGGGAGACACGACCCACCAAGAUGUGAUAUUAGCAUAUCAAAAUCACUUCAAAAGUGCACACCAUAGCAUGCCCAAAAAACGUGGCACAAGAAGAGAUGAAGAGAAAUUUGAAGUAUGGGAGGAAUGUGCUCAAACUGUGCAGAGAUCCUAUGAUAAAAAUAGGGAUAUGCUGGUAAAAAUAAUGCUUGAAAAAUUGAGAAAUAUGUUAUCUAAAGAACACGAGGAGCUGGAUGAAGCGACAUAUGAUUUACAGAGGGCAUUUGAAAUGUUUGUACAAGAAUUGAAACAAGAAAAAUUUCAAAUGAUGGUAGAAAAGGUUGGUGGUAAGCAUGGCAUGAAAGAAGCAGAAUUUGUCAAAGAUCUCCUAACUACACUUCAGCCAGAUGAUUAUUUGCACUUCAUUGCCACAGGAGACACAAGAAAAAGAAAAUAUACAGAUAUACACUAAUAAUAAAACUUUAAGUGUUAUAAUGAUGCUUUUCAUGAUGUCAUAUUUAACAGCUCAGCAAUGUCCAUGAAUUUGUUUAUGGAGCUUCCUGGAAUUGGUUUAUAUAACUUCUUAGGUAUCUUACUAUUACAUGUCAGUAUUUGCCAGUUGAAUCUGACUAAAGUUGUGUAGGAGGUUACAAGCAAUAAUGCCUAAUAGGUUUGAAAUCUAUAGUCGCCUAAGUAAUCUAGGAAAAAAAUUGCUGGAAGUUAUUAGCUGUGGCUGUUGUACAAUUGUUUGGAUUAUUGUCAUUGUGGGACAAAAAUUAAAAGGCCUAUGUACCCUAACACAAAACAAGUUUAGUAUAAUUAUACUUAUGAUCAGAUUCUAUUAUUAAAUAUAUUAUUAAUUAUACAUCAUUCAGCAAUCUUGAGAGCAGAAUUACUCAAAAAAGAAGAAAGUAUAAUGAGUUAGUUCAAGAGGUAUCAAAGUAUGAAAAAAUUCUUGGAGAGUGGUGUGUACCACAAGAGCAUGUUUUGAGGGAGCUCUCACUUAAAAGAAGCAAAUUAUUGUUAAAAAGUAAUAGAACCAUGCAUUCUGAUGAAAAAUGUCAAGAAAAUGAAGAAUUGUUCAAGGAUAUGCUUGACAGCUUAACUGAGCUGGUUGAAAUUAACUUGUGGAACCUACUUGAAGGAGGUAUCAAUGAAGAAAGCAAAAAUGACACUCACUAUGGUGCAUAUGGUCUACUGCUUAGUGCUUGUGAGAUCAAGACAAAUACCAGCAUAGCAGAAAUAGCCAAAGAAAAGGCUUUGAAAAAAAUUGAACAGAAGUAUAAUUAUAUUGACAAUCAAGGCAUUGAAGAGAAUGUGGAUCAAUGUCUUUCCAUUCUUCAUAUGAUGCUAACGUUAUUGCCUCCUCUACUCCCCAUGCAACCACAAUGGCAAGAUGAUGAAAUACAAGAUACUUUUCGAAAGACUUGGGAUGAAAAUAAAGAAGGGCCAUUAAUAUAUUAUCGUCCUGUGUUGGUGUAUGGCAAUCAGUUCCAUGUUGCAUUUAAGGGACUGGUAGGAAACAGUUCAGUAUUACUACAAGACAAAUGAUAGCUAACAUUGUCAUAACCAUUAUAGUUUGGUAGAACAACAAAUUAUUAGUUCAAGAAUAGCUUGAUUAAAUUUUGUAUAGUCAAGAGUACAUAAUUCAUGCUGCCAUUAUUGAUACUACGCAUGAUCUCACUACUGUAUCUUGCACACACGUGUACAUGUGUAAGCAUAGAUAUUAUAGACAUUAUAGACUACUGAAACGUUAUUAAUUUUAUUGAUAUUUUUGAUAAACAACAUUCUAUCAGCUCAAAUGAGCAUUGAAUAAAGGUAACGUAGUCUAUAAAAUUUAUGGUGCAAAGGGUGCAUGGGUGUGGUCAUAAAUUUGGUGUGGUCUGGUCUCUGGUGACUGGUGUGGUCAAAAAAACUGAAUGAGAACUAUAGAAGAAUGGCAAGCAGAGGAAUGAAUGAGAGGACAGAUGAAUGCUAUGAGCUGGACCUAGUAGUAACAAUGGCACAUGAUGACAGUGACCAUUUAAGUGAAGAAGAAAAACUUGAUAGAGACAUUGCUAACCUUGAAAACAAAAUUAGAGUUAUGAGGGAGAUGAUAGGGAAGCAAGAAAGUUAUACAAGCCCUUCUUAUGAUGCUCGGAAGUUGUAUGGUGACAUUUUACCUGGUGAUAAAACACAUGAAGACGUAAUACGACUCUACCAGCACCACUUUAACAUGGCUUUUCAGCAUAUGCCAAAAAAAUUUGAAGGUAAAAGUAAAUUUGAAGUUUGGCAAAUGUGUGGUGAAAUAUUUCAAACUACAAUUCCACUAAUAGGAUUGCUUUGACGAAAAAAGAAAAACAUUAAUAAAAAUAAUGAAGGAUGAAAUGAAGAUUGCAGUAAGUCAAAGCAUGACUAUUGCAGAUUUGGAUGAAAAAACAACCGAUUUGCAUCGUGCAUUUAAGAUAAUGAUUGCGGAAGUCAAUGAUCAAGAACUUCUAUUGAAAAUGAAGCAAAGAAAUCCUAGUUUAAAUGAAGAUGCAUUUUAUUUUGUGCUGGAUAUGAUACAGAAGUUAAAACCGGUUCAUUACCGAUCCUUCUUGACUAAAGGAACACUAAAUGAAACAAAAUUGGAACUUCUUCCUGAAAUUUAAUAAUAUGACUCUAACUUAAA
RNAcentral lists this unclassified non-coding RNA (3089 nucleotides) under Amphimedon queenslandica. RNAcentral's name for it is "uncharacterized LOC109582096, transcript variant X1". The record is from RNAcentral. Lineage: Eukaryota; Metazoa; Porifera; Demospongiae; Haplosclerida; Niphatidae.